AUUGAACGCUGGCGGCAUGCCUUACACAUGCAAGUCGAACGGUAACAGGUCUUCGGAUGCUGACGAGUGGCGCACGGGUGAGUAAUACAUCGGAACGUGCCCGAUCGUGGGGGAUAACGAGGCGAAAGCUUUGCUAAUACCGCAUACGAUCUACGGAUGAAAGCGGGGGAUCUUCGGACCUCGCGCGGACGGAGCGGCCGAUGGCAGAUUAGGUAGUUGGUGGGAUAAAAGCUUACCAAGCCGACGAUCUGUAGCUGGUCUGAGAGGAUGAUCAGCCACACUGGAACUGAGACACGGCCCAGACUCCUACGGGAGGCAGCAGUGGGGAAUUUUGGACAAUGGGCGAAAGCCUGAUCCAGCCAUGCCGCGUGCAGGAUGAAGGCCUUCGGGUUGUAAACUGCUUUUGUACGGAACGAAAAGCCUCUUUCUAAUAAAGAGGGGUCAUGACGGUACCGUAAGAAUAAGCACCGGCUAACUACGUG
RNAcentral lists this ribosomal RNA (482 nucleotides) under uncultured bacterium. RNAcentral describes it as "partial 16S ribosomal RNA". It matches the Rfam family "Bacterial small subunit ribosomal RNA", at positions 30 to 507 of the family's 1533-position model. The record is from RNAcentral.